This is a long non-coding RNA of Xiphophorus couchianus (Monterrey platyfish), 1931 nucleotides long. RefSeq lists it as uncharacterized. The transcript is spliced from 2 exons. NCBI's taxonomy places the organism in Eukaryota, Metazoa, Chordata, Actinopteri, Cyprinodontiformes, Poeciliidae. The record is from RefSeq and is a predicted model, not a curated record.
UUUCUGCAACACACUUAGAAAGCAGGAAGGAGACGUUACAAAGCUUGACAGGGACGUUCCUCAUUCUCCGACUGCUCUUCAUAUCUGCAGCUGCUAAGUGAAGCUAACGCAGCGCAGAGUUGAGAUAAAUCCCAGCUGACGCCUUUAUCUGCUGCGCCGUCCCGCUCCGAGGGUUCAGUCCUGAUUAGAAACCUCAGACACAUCCAGGUGUGAGAAAAACCUCUAGAGUCUCAUUCUGCUUCACAUGCGGCUACUUAUCACAUGUGAACACAUAUUUCCCACAUGUGCACCACUUAUGAUCUGAUUUUCUACAUGUGAACAUCAAUAUGUGAAAAAUCCCAUUAACUUCACAUGAAAAUCAUCUAAAUGAACAUGUGAUGAAGACAUUUUCACAUGUGAAUGAUGUGAUUCACAUGGUUUCUCCUGUAUCACAGGUGUGACACCUGCUGUCACUGCAGAGUUUAUUAGAAAAGAGAAACAGAAAGAUUCCCGUUUAAUUUCUGAUCCGUUGGAUCUGAGCCGACGCUCUGCGUUUCCCGUACAGAAACAGAACGGAGCUGCGGCGGCGCGGAGCUGCAGCACAGACUGCAUCUCUGCAGCCAUGUUUCUGAGACUCUGAAAGGAUGUGACCCGAAUCGCUGUGGAAACUUUCAAACACGUAGUCGGGUCAGAGGGAGCAGCAGCUCUGCAGCCAACUGGAGAAUCAGAAACUAUUUCAGCCCUUCAGGCUGAACGAUACAUGAUCGCUUCACUCUACAGCCGUAACUGAUUUACUCCCUGCAGUCUUUUGUUGCCUCCUUUAUGUUAUACUCAUUUUCUUUUUUUUUUACCCCUCCAUGGGUAAUGUCGUCGGAUCCGGGAGUCGAACCCACGACAGCCGUCGAGGACUCAAGGCCUCCAAACAUGGGUCGCGCCAUCCCCUACGCCACCACGACAUGCCCAUCCGAUUUUUAAUAUCUCAUGUAUUCAUGCAUGUUUGUUUUUUCUUUAUGGUUUUAUUGGCUACUGGAUGCUCAAAUUUCCACCAGUUAAAUAAAAUAUCUAUCUAGCUACCUUGCUGGCUAGAUUGAUAGAUUCAACAUAAAAUACUGCAACCACAGUAGACAGAAACCAAAGGGAAAAUUCCCCUGAUUGCAAAAAGUAUGAAAAGCUGCCAAACAGAAGUCCUCCAGGCCACCAGAGGGCGCCGACCGUCAGUAAGGAUUGGAUGUCAUGAUGUCAAAAGGAAAGCAUGAGGGGGUUUUUUGCAGUAAAAUAGAACAGCAGCAUAUUUACAAAUGUAAUAUAAGCUUCCAUUUUAUAGAGCAUUUUAUUCUUGUUUCCAUUUGAACCAUUUUACCAUUUUCUUCCGUCUUUUGUGGUUGCAGCUUUUUUGUUUUUUUGUUUUGGAGUUUCGUGUGUUUCAGUGUGUGUUUGUGUGUGUGUUUUGGUGUGUGUGUGUGUGUUUGCAGCCUUUAGGCCGUCCUGAAGCAGCUCCAUUAGGAAACACCAAGCUGCUGUCGUGAUGGAAUGAGUUGAGUUCUAACUCACUGCUGCUUUGAGUCCAGGCAGAAAUGUAAAGUGCAGAUGAUCAGCGGUCUGGUCCAGGGAAGCGUUUCCCAGCUGGAAUAGAGUCAGCAUGCUGCUGAACAGCUGUCUGCGAUGUUUGGUGAAAGUUGCCAGAGAUAAAAGUGUCUCCAGGUUUCGGAUGGUUGGUGAAACUAACUGACUGCAUAAAGAGAAACAAUCAGGCUGCAGCUUCGUAAACUCCAGCAGUUUGGCUUCAUUCUGCUGAUGUUCGAACCAGAUGAUGGAGGAACAUCAGCGUUUGUCUUCAGAUCCAUAUCUUAGCAGCGUUAUUAUCAACAGUAGGUUGAGAGACUUUUGGGUUUGUUCUGGUUCAUUUGAUCUGCAGUAAACAGUCAUCAACGUGAUGAAACCUCCAACAUGGC